Molecule: ribosomal RNA, 761 nt
Filed under: fungal endophyte
Lineage: Eukaryota; Fungi
Description: eukaryotic LSU rRNA
Rfam family: Eukaryotic large subunit ribosomal RNA (bases 509-761)
Source: RNAcentral
CGGAGGGUCAUUACUGAGUUAUCCAAAAACUCCCAACCCUAUGUGAACUUACCACUGUUGCCUCGGCGAGCUGCGCUACCCUGUAGCUACCUUUGUAGCGACCUGGGAGCGCGUUAUAGGCUCGCCAGAGGACCACUAAACUCUGUUUUAUUUUGUAUCUCUGAAUCUUACAACUGAAAUCAGUUAAAACUUUCAACAACGGAUCUCUUGGUUCUGGCAUCGAUGAAGAACGCAGCGAAAUGCGAUAAGUAAUGUGAAUUGCAGAAUUCAGUGAAUCAUCGAAUCUUUGAACGCACAUUGCGCCCAUUAGUAUUCUAGUGGGCAUGCCUAUUCGAGCGUCAUUUCAACCCUUAAGCCUCAGUAGCUUAGCGUUGGGAAUCUACAGGUUACAGCGUAGUUCCUUAAAGGUAGUGGCGGAGUUAGAGCACACUCUAAGCGUAGUACUUGUUUCUCGCUUCUGGUAGUGGCUUUGGCGGCCGGCCGUGAAACCCCCUAUAUUUCUAAUGGUUGACCUCGGAUUAGGUAGGAAUACCCGCUGAACUUAAGCAUAUCAAUAAGCGGAGGAAAAGAAACCAACAGGGAUUGCCCUAGUAACGGCGAGUGAAGCGGCAACAGCUCAAUUUGAAAUCUGGCCUUCGGGUCCGAGUUGUAAUUUGUAGAGGAUGCUUUGGGUGCGGUGCCUUCCGAGUUCCCUGGAACGGGACGCCUUAGAGGGUGAGAGCCCCGUACGGUUGGACACCUAGCCUAUGUAUAGCUCCUUC